Molecule: ribosomal RNA, 328 nt
Filed under: uncultured bacterium
Lineage: Bacteria
Description: bacterial SSU rRNA
Rfam family: Bacterial small subunit ribosomal RNA
Source: RNAcentral
GAUGAACGCUGGCGGCGUGCUUAACACAUGCAAGUCGAACGAAGCACUUUGGAUAGAUUUCUUCGGAUUGAUAUCCUUGGUGACUGAGUGGCGGACGGGUGAGUAACGCGUGGGUAACCUGCCUCAUACACGGGGGAUAACAGUUAGAAAUGGCUGCUAAUACCGCAUAAGCGCACAGUACCACACUGGUACCGUGUGAAAAACUCCGGUGGUAUGAGAUGGACCCGCGUCUGAUUAGCUAGUUGGCAGGGUAACGGCCUACCAAGGCGACGAUCAGUAGCCGACCUGAGAGGGUGAUCGGCCACAUUGGGACUGAGACACGGUCCAA